AAUCCAUAGGUUAAUGAGGCGAACCGGGGGAACUGAAACAUCUAAGUACCCCGAGGAAAAGAAAUCAACCGAGAUUCCCCCAGUAGCGGCGAGCGAACGGGGAGGAGCCCAGAGCCUGAAUCAGCAUGUGUGUUAGUGGAAGCGUCUGGAAAGGCGCGCGAUACAGGGUGACAGCCCCGUACACAAAAGCGCAUGUGCUGUGAGCUCGAUGAGUAGGGCGGGACACGUGGUAUCCUGUCUGAAUAUGGGGGGACCAUCCUCCAAGGCUAAAUACUCCUGACUGACCGAUAGUGAACCAGUACCGUGAGGGAAAGGCGAAAAGAACCCCGGCGAGGGGAGUGAAAAAGAACCUGAAACCGUGUACGUACAAGCAGUGGGAGCACCCUUUGGGUGUGACUGCGUACCUUUUGUAUAAUGGGUCAGCGACUUAUAUUCUGUAGCAAGGUUAACCGAAUAGGGGAGCCGGAGGGAAACCGAGUCUUAAUUGGGCGUUAAGUUGCAGGGUAUAGACCCGAAACCCGGUGAUCUAGCCAUGGGCAGGUUGAAGGGUGGGUAACACUAACUGGAGGACCGAACCGACUAAUGUUGAAAAAUUAGCGGAUGACCUGUGGCUGGGGGUGAAAGGCCAAUCAAACCGGGAGAUAGCUGGUUCUCCCCGAAAGCUAUUUAGGUAGCGCCUCGUGAAUUCAUCUCCGGGGGUAGAGCACUGUUUCGGCUAGGGGGCCAUCCCGGCUUACCAACCCGAUGCAAACUGCGAAUACCGGAGAAUGUUAUCACGGGAGACACACGGCGGGUGCUAACGUCCGUCGUGAAGAGGGAAACAACCCAGACCGCCAGCUAAGGUCCCAAAGUCAUGGUUAAGUGGGAAACGAUGUGGGAAGGCCCAGACAGCCAGGAUGUUGGCUUAGAAGCAGCCAUCAUUUAAAGAAAGCGUAAUAGCUCACUGGUCGAGUCGGCCUGCGCGGAAGAUGUAACGGGGCUAAACCAUGCACCGAAGCUGCGGCAGCGACACUGUGUGUUGUUGGGUAGGGGAGCGUUCUGUAAGCCUGUGAAGGUGUGUCGUGAGGCAUGCUGGAGGUAUCAGAAGUGCGAAUGCUGACAUAAGUAACGAUAAAGCGGGUGAAAAGCCCGCUCGCCGGAAGACCAAGGGUUCCUGUCCAACGUUAAUCGGGGCAGGGUGAGUCGACCCCUAAGGCGAGGCCGAAAGGCGUAGUCGAUGGGAAACGGGUUAAUAUUCCCGUACUUGGUGUUACUGCGAAGGGGGGACGGAGAAGGCUAUGUUGGCCGGGCGACGGUUGUCCCGGUUUAAGCGUGUAGGUGUGUGUUCCAGGUAAAUCCGGUUCACUUUAACACUGAGGCGUGACGACGAGGCACUACGGUGCUGAAGCAACAAAUGCCCUGCUUCCAGGAAAAGCCUCUAAGCAUCAGGUAACAUCAAAUCGUACCCCAAACCGACACAGGUGGUCAGGUAGAGAAUACCAAGGCGCUUGAGAGAACUCGGGUGAAGGAACUAGGCAAAAUGGUGCCGUAACUUCGGGAGAAGGCACGCUGACACGUAGGUGAAGUGAUUUACUCAUGGAGCUGAAGUCAGUCGAAGAUACCAGCUGGCUGCAACUGUUUAUUAAAAACACAGCACUGUGCAAACACGAAAGUGGACGUAUACGGUGUGACGCCUGCCCGGUGCCGGAAGGUUAAUUGAUGGGGUCAGCGCAAGCGAAGCUCCUGAUCGAAGCCCCGGUAAACGGCGGCCGUAACUAUAACGGUCCUAAGGUAGCGAAAUUCCUUGUCGGGUAAGUUCCGACCUGCACGAAUGGCGUAAUGAUGGCCAGGCUGUCUCCACCCGAGACUCAGUGAAAUUGAACUCGCUGUGAAGAUGCAGUGUACCCGCGGCAAGACGGAAAGACCCCGUGAACCUUUACUAUAGCUUGACACUGAACAUUGAGCCUUGAUGUGUAGGAUAGGUGGGAGGCUUUGAAGUGUGGACGCCAGUCUGCAUGGAGCCGACCUUGAAAUACCACCCUUUAAUGUUUGAUGUUCUAACGUGGACCCGUUACCCGGGUUGCGGACAGUGUCUGGUGGGUAGUUUGACUGGGGCGGUCUCCUCCUAAAGAGUAACGGAGGAGCACGAAGGUUGGCUAAUCCUGGUCGGACAUCAGGAGGUUAGUGCAAUGGCAUAAGCCAGCUUGACUGCGAGCGUGACGGCGCGAGCAGGUGCGAAAGCAGGUCAUAGUGAUCCGGUGGUUCUGAAUGGAAGGGCCAUCGCUCAACGGAUAAAAGGUACUCCGGGGAUAACAGGCUGAUACCGCCCAAGAGUUCAUAUCGACGGCGGUGUUUGGCACCUCGAUGUCGGCUCAUCACAUCCUGGGGCUGAAGUAGGUCCCAAGGGUAUGGCUGUUCGCCAUUUAAAGUGGUACGCGAGCUGGGUUUAGAACGUCGUGAGACAGUUCGGUCCCUAUCUGCCGUGGGCGCUGGAGAACUGAGGGGGGCUGCUCCUAGUACGAGAGGACCGGAGUGGACGCAUCACUGGUGUUCGGGUUGUCAUGCCAAUGGCACUGCCCGGUAGCUAAAUGCGGAAGAGAUAAGUGCUGAAAGCAUCUAAGCACGAAACUUGCCCCGA
This 2617-nucleotide ribosomal RNA is filed under the name Salmonella enterica subsp. enterica serovar Enteritidis. RNAcentral's name for it is "partial 23S ribosomal RNA". It matches the Rfam family "Bacterial large subunit ribosomal RNA". Lineage: Bacteria; Pseudomonadati; Pseudomonadota; Gammaproteobacteria; Enterobacterales; Enterobacteriaceae. The record is from RNAcentral.